Molecule: transfer RNA, 75 nt
Filed under: Deltaproteobacteria bacterium
Lineage: Bacteria; Pseudomonadati; Myxococcota; Myxococcia
Also listed under: 3 other names
Description: tRNA-Glu
Rfam family: tRNA
About the family: Transfer RNA (tRNA) molecules are approximately 80 nucleotides in length. Their secondary structure includes four short double-helical elements and three loops (D, anti-codon, and T loops). Further hydrogen bonds mediate the characteristic L-shaped molecular structure. tRNAs have two regions of fundamental functional importance: the anti-codon, which is responsible for specific mRNA codon recognition, and the 3' end, to which the tRNAs corresponding amino acid is attached (by aminoacyl-tRNA synthetases). tRNAs cope with the degeneracy of the genetic code in two manners: having more than one tRNA (with a specific anti-codon) for a particular amino acid; and 'wobble' base-pairing, i.e. permitting non-standard base-pairing at the 3rd anti-codon position.
Source: RNAcentral
GGUCCCAUCGUCUAGCGGUUAGGACACCGGCCUCUCACGUCGGUAACACGGGUUCGAGUCCCGUUGGGACCACCA